AUGAACGCUGGCGGCGUGCCUAAUCCCUGCAAGUCGAGCGAACAGAUGAGGAGCUUGCUCCUCUGACGUUAGCGGCGGACGGGUGAGUAACACGUGGAUAACCUACCUAUAAGACUGGGAUAACUUCGGGAAACCGGAGCUAAUACCGGAUAAUAUAUUGAACCGCAUGGUUCAAUAGUGAAAGACGGUUUUGCUGUCACUUAUAGAUGGAUCCGCGCCGCAUUAGCUAGUUGGUAAGGUAACGGCUUACCAAGGCGACGAUGCGUAGCCGACCUGAGAGGGUGAUCGGCCACACUGGAACUGAGACACGGUCCAGACUCCUACGGGAGGCAGCAGUAGGGAAUCUUCCGCAAUGGGCGAAAGCCUGACGGAGCAACGCCGCGUGAGUGAUGAAGGUCUUCGGAUCGUAAAACUCUGUUAUUAGGGAAGAACAAAUGUGUAAGUAACUAUGCACGUCUUGACGGUACCUAAUCAGAAAGCCACGGCUAACUACGUG
Molecule: ribosomal RNA, 496 nt
Filed under: uncultured bacterium
Lineage: Bacteria
Description: partial 16S ribosomal RNA
Rfam family: Bacterial small subunit ribosomal RNA
Source: RNAcentral